AGGGAUAUAGCUCAGUUGGUAGAGUGCUUGCCUCAUAUGCACAAGGCCCUGGGUUAAAUCCCCAGAACCACCA
RNAcentral lists this transfer RNA (73 nucleotides) under Ictidomys tridecemlineatus (thirteen-lined ground squirrel). RNAcentral describes it as "Spermophilus tridecemlineatus (thirteen-lined ground squirrel) tRNA". It matches the Rfam family "tRNA". Rfam says of the family: Transfer RNA (tRNA) molecules are approximately 80 nucleotides in length. The record is from Rfam by way of RNAcentral. Lineage: Eukaryota; Metazoa; Chordata; Mammalia; Rodentia; Sciuridae. RNAcentral also lists the same sequence under 1 other name.